UACGUAGGUGGCAAGCGUUGUCCGGAUUUACUGGGCGUAAAGGGCGUGCAGGCGGUUUGUUAAGUGCAGUGUGAAAGCUCCCGGCUCAACUGGGAGAGGUCUUUGCAUACUGGCAAACUCGAGGGAGGCAGAGGAAAGUGGAAUUCCCGGUGUAGUGGUGAUAUGCGUAGAUAUCAGGAAGAACACCCGUGGCUAAGGCGGCUCUCUAGUGCGGUACUGACGCUGAGACGCGAAAGCGUGGGGAGCGAACAGG
This 253-nucleotide ribosomal RNA is filed under the name uncultured bacterium. Its description in RNAcentral is "partial 16S ribosomal RNA". It matches the Rfam family "Bacterial small subunit ribosomal RNA", at positions 524 to 776 of the family's 1533-position model. The record is from RNAcentral.